This 425-nucleotide ribosomal RNA is filed under the name uncultured bacterium. RNAcentral's name for it is "partial 16S ribosomal RNA". It matches the Rfam family "Bacterial small subunit ribosomal RNA", at positions 354 to 796 of the family's 1533-position model. The record is from RNAcentral.
GUGGGGAAUCUUAGACAAUGGGCGCAAGCCUGAUCUAGCCAUGCCGCGUGAGCGAUGAAGGCCUUAGGGUUGUAAAGCUCUUUCGCUGGGGAAGAUAAUGACUGUACCCAGUAAAGAAGCCCCGGCUAACUCCGUGCCAGCAGCCGCGGUAAUACGGAGGGGGCUAGCGUUGUUCGGAAUUACUGGGCGUAAAGCGCGCGUAGGCGGAUUGGAAAGUUGGGGGUGAAAUCCCGGGGCUCAACCUCGGAACUGCCUUCAAAACUCCCAGUCUUGAGUUCGAGAGAGGUGAGUGGAAUUCCGAGUGUAGAGGUGAAAUUCGUAGAUAUUCGGAGGAACACCAGUGGCGAAGGCGGCUCACUGGCUCGAUACUGACGCUGAGGUGCGAAAGCGUGGGGAGCAAACAGGAUUAGAAACCCUAGUAGUCC